UGAGGAAUUUUGCGCAAUGGGAGCAAUCCUGACGCAGCAACGCCGCGUGGGUGAUGAAGGCCUUCGGGUCGUAAAGCCCUGUCAGGUGGGAAGAAUGUCCCGGGACUGAACAGGUUCCGGGAGUGACGGUACCACCAGAGGAAGCACCGGCUAACUCCGUGCCAGCAGCCGCGGUAAUACGGAGGGUGCAAGCGUUAUUCGGAAUUACUGGGCGUAAAGCGCGUGUAGGCGGGCCUGCAAGUCAGAUGUGAAAGCCCCGGGCGUAACCCGGGAAGUGCAUUGGAAACUGUGGGACUUGAGUACUGGCGAGGAUUGGGGAAUUCCCGGUGUAGAGGUGAAAUUCGUAGAGAUCGGGAGGAAUAUCAGUGGCGAAGGCGCCCAUCUGGACGGUAACUGACGCUGAGACGCGAAAGCGUGGGGAGCAAACA
Molecule: ribosomal RNA, 428 nt
Filed under: uncultured prokaryote
Description: bacterial SSU rRNA
Rfam family: Bacterial small subunit ribosomal RNA
Source: RNAcentral